CCUACGGGAGGCAGCAGUGGGGAAUAUUGCGCAAUGGGCGAAAGCCUGACGCAGCGACGCCGCGUGAGGGAUGAAGGUCUUCGGAUCGUAAACCUCUUUCAGCAGGGAAGAACGGUCACUGUGCUAAUCAGCAGUGCAUUGACCGUACCUGCAAAGGAAGCACCGGCUAACUCCGUGCCAGCAGCCGCUGUAAUACGGAGGGUGCGAGCGUUAAUCGGAAUUACUGGGCGUAAAGCGCGCGUAGGCGGUAUGUCAAGUCAAGGGUGAAAUCCCCGCGCUCAACGUGGGAACUGCCUUUGAAACUGGCAAACUGGAGUGUGUGAGAGGAUAGUGGAAUUCCAGGUGUAGGAGUGAAAUCCGUAGAUAUCUGGAGGAACAUCAGGGGCGAAGGCGACUAUCUGGCACAUAACUGACGCUGAGGAGCGAAAGCGUGGGUAGCAAACAGGAUUAGAUACCCUUGUAGUC
Molecule: ribosomal RNA, 465 nt
Filed under: uncultured bacterium
Lineage: Bacteria
Description: partial 16S ribosomal RNA
Rfam family: Bacterial small subunit ribosomal RNA
Source: RNAcentral